GACGAACGCUGGCGGCGUGCUUAACACAUGCAAGUCGAGCGGGUGCAGCAAUGCAUCAGCGGCGGACGGGUGAGUAACGCGUGAACAAUCUGCCUCUAUCAGCGGGAUAACACAUAGAAAUAGGUGCUAAUACCGCAUAAGACCACGAUUUCGCAUGAAGAAGUGGUAAAAGCUCCGACGGAUAGAGAUGAGUUCGCGUCCCAUUAGCUAGUUGGUGAGGUAACGGCCCACCAAGGCGACGAUGGGUAGCCGACCUGAGAGGGUGAUCGGCCACAUUGGAACUGAGAAACGGUCCAA
RNAcentral lists this ribosomal RNA (297 nucleotides) under uncultured bacterium. Its description in RNAcentral is "partial 16S ribosomal RNA". It matches the Rfam family "Bacterial small subunit ribosomal RNA", at positions 28 to 334 of the family's 1533-position model. The record is from RNAcentral.